Molecule: ribosomal RNA, 441 nt
Filed under: Suhomyces xylopsoci
Lineage: Eukaryota; Fungi; Ascomycota; Pichiomycetes; Serinales; Debaryomycetaceae
Description: eukaryotic LSU rRNA
Rfam family: Eukaryotic large subunit ribosomal RNA
Source: RNAcentral
UUUGCGGGUCCGAGUUGUAAUUUGAAGAAGCGACUUUGGUGUGGGCUCUUGUCUAUGUUCCUUGGAACAGGACGUCACAGAGGGUGAGAAUCCCGUGCGAUGAGAUGCCCAUUGCCGUGUAAAGCGUUUUCGACGAGUCGAGUUGUUUGGGAAUGCAGCUCUAAGUGGGUGGUAAAUUCCAUCUAAAGCUAAAUAUUGGCGAGAGACCGAUAGCGAACAAGUACAGUGAUGGAAAGAUGAAAAGAACUUUGAAAAGAGAGUGAAAAAGUACGUGAAAUUGUUGAAAGGGAAGGGCUUGAGAUCAGACUUUGUUUUUCCAUGGUGUUCUUUCGGGGGCACCCUCUGGGUCUACAGGGCCAGCAUGGGUUUUGCGGGCGAGAUAAUAGCAUAGGAAUGUGGCUCUGCUUCGGUGGAGUGUUAUAGCCUUUGUUGAUGUCGCCA